AGGGGGCUAGCGUUGCUCGGAAUCACUGGGCGUAAAGCGCACGUAGGCGGAUUGCUAAGUCAGGGGUGAAAUCCUGGAGCUCAACUCCAGAACUGCCUUUGAUACUGGCGAUCUCGAGUCCGGGAGAGGUGAGUGGAACUGCGAGUGUAGAGGUGAAAUUCGUAGAUAUUCGCAAGAACACCAGUGGCGAAGGCGGCUCACUGGCCCGGUACUGACGCUGAGGCACGAAAGCGUGGGGAGCAAACAGG
Molecule: ribosomal RNA, 248 nt
Filed under: uncultured bacterium
Lineage: Bacteria
Description: partial 16S ribosomal RNA
Rfam family: Bacterial small subunit ribosomal RNA
Source: RNAcentral